Long non-coding RNA from Monodelphis domestica (gray short-tailed opossum), 1947 nucleotides. RefSeq lists it as uncharacterized. NCBI's taxonomy places the organism in Eukaryota, Metazoa, Chordata, Mammalia, Didelphimorphia, Didelphidae. The record is from RefSeq and is a predicted model, not a curated record.
ACUUGACUUCUGCUUUCUCAGCCUUAGUUCCCUCAUCUCUAAAAGGAGAGGACUGGCCUAGAUGACCUUCUGGCCCUCCAUGCUAAUCUCUUCAUAUUUUGAUUCUUAAUUAAUUGACUCUGGAUCAGGAAUCUGCCACCUCACUGAAAUAUUUUCGAUUUACAUAAUCAUGGACUCAGGCUAUGUUUUUAUCCUUUAGUAAUUCAAACAGUUCUGUCCUUUCAUCUGAGGGGACAUUCUUCUCUAGACAAAUUGUAGCACCUCUUAUUGCAUAUGAUUUCACGAGUGGGUUUCAGCAACAGCACGAACAAAUAAUAAUAAUAAUGAUCUCCAAAGGUAUCCUCUGGCAAUGAGUCUCUAGGACUUUGGUUCAGCUAGUUCUUGGACAACAGUAUGUGGCAGGUCUGUCCUUGAAGCCUUCUCAGCUUAGAUCUGGCAGAGUUUACACUCGGAUGCUCGUCGCCAAGGACCUGGGGUUGCUACCCCACCAUGAGGAGGUAUCAGAGAGAGCCUGCCGUGCAGGCUUCAUGCAUGUAUUUAAAUUAAGUCUGCCUGCUGUCCUAAUAGAACAGUUGGCCAGAAGCUGACUAUGACUAAUAGAUAUCAUUAGCAGAAAUAAUUUGUCAAAAUAAAAAUAAGUCCUUUGUGAAAAGUGAUGUUACAAUAACAAGAAGUAGGAUCGAGGAAAGUGUCUGCUCCUGGAGUGCCGAGGGCACGUGGUCUUCUCUAGAGGGUAAUUGGACGCGUGGUCCAGAGUGUGCCGGGCAACCUUUUCAGUUUGCCCCUGUUUAGAGGGCUGAGAUUAGCCUUGGUAUGAAGUCCCAGAAACUCGGGAAGGCAGCAUGGCGUGGACUUGGAGAUGGGACACGCAGGGUUCAGUCCUUGCCUCUGACUCUCACUAGUCACAUCUGCCAAGUGUGAGGGAGUUAGCCUCAGUGAUCUGGUGCAAAGCUAGAUUUGUGAUCCCAUGACUGGCAUUGUGGGGGCACCUUGAGACAGAUCUGGUCAGCAGGGCGUUUCAUCCUGAGUCAGGGAUCCAGUGAUGCUGAGAAUCAAAGGAUCUGAGCAAGACCAGUGGAGAGCGCCAGGGAGAGGUAAGCAAUGGCAGCCGCACUGGGAUCUUCACAAUGCACGGUGAAUGUGAGAAGACCUCAGUCUGUUGGGGGGACCUCCUGUGCUGACUUUGUGGCACUGUGCUGCUUAUCCUUGGAGGGGACACUCACCCUGAGGAGAUGGCACUGUGGUCAAGGUGAUAUAGUGAAAGAACACUGGCCAGAGGACUGGAGGUUCCAUUCUUCCCUCAGUCAUUCACCCCCUGGGUGACUUGGGCACAUUAUUUCAUGUCCUAGCCUCAGUUUCCAUAUCUGUCAAAAUGAGGUGGUUGGAUUAGAUGGCCUCUAAGGUUCUUUCUAUGUCAAAAGCUGUGACUUUGAGAGUAAUGGAGUAUUUUGAUUUUAAAGAUCUUACCAUAAGCCCCCAGUGACUCCAUUAUUUCCAUUGUGAGUCAUGGCUCUGGAGAUGAGGACCUCUUUUCUUAUUGGUCAGCUUCCUUCCCCACAGUGGACCCUAUGGCUGCUGCCUCUGUGUCUGCUCUUCCAUCUCUCUUUUUUAAUUUCUGCUGCUGGCAAAGAGCACUUUGGAUUUCUCCCAUCAUCUGAUCCUCUCAAAUAUUUCCCUUUCAUUAAUGUUUCCUCAGGAGUUCAGAAGUACCCCAACAAGGCAAGAAAUGAAUAUCUAAUAAGGGAAAUGAGAAGAAAGCUGUUUGGAAGGAGGGGGCCUUUCCUGUUGCCCACGGCGACUCUACUUGGUAAGAGCUGGGUCAGAAGUUUGGUGCCCAUUUCUGGACAAUGGUCAGCUCAUGCCUCAUGCAGUCGAUGUGUGUGUUCCUGAGACUUGUGUGUAAAGAUCAUUUAAACACAAAUUGAUCUUUGGUAAACUGAACCAUAA